GGCUCAGUGGUCUAGUGGUAUGAUUCUGGCUUUGGGUGCGAGAGAGCCACGGGUUCGAUUCCCGUCUGAGCCC
Nematostella vectensis (starlet sea anemone) is the source of this 73-nucleotide non-coding RNA. The record is from Rfam. NCBI's taxonomy places the organism in Eukaryota, Metazoa, Cnidaria, Anthozoa, Actiniaria, Edwardsiidae.